RNAcentral lists this unclassified non-coding RNA (289 nucleotides) under plant metagenome. RNAcentral describes it as "partial contains small subunit ribosomal RNA, internal transcribed spacer 1, and 5.8S ribosomal RNA". The stretch from base 241 to 289 matches the Rfam family "5.8S ribosomal RNA", at positions 1 to 49 of the family's 154-position model. The record is from RNAcentral.
UUUCCGUCGGCGAACCUGCGGAAGGAUCAUUAAUGAGUUGUCAUGGGGUUCGAUGCUGGCAGCCAAUUUUUGGAUGCAUGUGCUUGCCCUAACAAUCAUCUUCCAAACACCUGUGCACAUUUUUGAGGGAGUCUUGAGUUGGUUGCCGCUCUUGGGUGAUUUUCUCACAUUCCCUUAAAUCAUUAUACGCUAUUAACAAUGUUGAACGUGCUCUGUGCCGCAAGGCUAUUAAUAUAAUACAACUUUUAACAACGGAUCUCUUGGCUCUCACAUCGAUGAAGAACGCAGC